AACGGAGGGUGCAAGCGUUGUUCGGAAUUACUGGGCGUAAAGCGCGUGCAGGUGGUCUUUUAAGUUUCGUGUGAAAGCCCUCGGCUUAACCGAGGAACGGCACGGAAAACUGAGAGACUUGAAUACGGGAGAAGAGGGCGGAAUUCCCAGUGUAGAGGUGAAAUUCGUAGAUAUUGGGAGGAACACCGGUGGCGAAAGCGGCUCUCUAGACCGAUAUUGACGCUCAUACGCGAGAGCGUGGGUAGCAAACAGG
RNAcentral lists this ribosomal RNA (253 nucleotides) under uncultured bacterium. Its description in RNAcentral is "partial 16S ribosomal RNA". It matches the Rfam family "Bacterial small subunit ribosomal RNA", at positions 524 to 776 of the family's 1533-position model. The record is from RNAcentral.